Molecule: ribosomal RNA, 504 nt
Filed under: Heteronida barunae
Lineage: Eukaryota; Metazoa; Arthropoda; Malacostraca; Decapoda; Munididae
Description: partial large subunit ribosomal RNA
Rfam family: Bacterial large subunit ribosomal RNA
Source: RNAcentral
GUCUGUAUGAAGUUAUAUAGAGUCUAACCUGCCCAUUGAAUUUUAAAAGGCCGCGGUAUUUUGACUGUGCAAAGGUAGCAUAAUCAUUAGUUUUUUAAUUGAAGGCUUGUAUGAAAGGUUGGACAAAGGAAAGUCUGUCUUUGCUUUUAUAUUUGAAUUUGACUUUCAAGUGAAAAGGCUUGAAUUUAUCUAAGGGACGAUAAGACCCUAUAAAUCUUUAUAUUUUAUAUUUUUUUUAAUAAAAAUAAUGUUAAUAUUAAUUAAAAUAAAAUAUAUUUAGUUGGGGCGACAAGAAUAUAAAAAUAACUGUUCUAAUAUAGACACAAACUUUUUUGUUAAUAUAAUAGUAGAUCCUUUUUUAAGAUUUUAAGAUUAAGUUACUUUAGGGAUAACAGCGUUAUUUUUUUUGAGAGUUCUUAUCGAAAAAAAAGUUUGCGACCUCGAUGUUGAAUUAAAAUUUCUUUAUUGGUGCAGUAACUAUAAUAGAAAGUCUGUUCGACUUUU